AUUGAACGCUGGCGGCAGGCUCAACACAUGCAAGUCGAGCGGGGUGAUGGUGCUUGCACUAUCACUUAGCGGCGGACGGGUGAGUAAUGCUUAGGAAUCUGCCUAUUAGUGGGGGACAACAUCUCGAAAGGGAUGCUAAUACCGCAUACGUCCUACGGGAGAAAGCAGGGGAUCACUUGUGACCUUGCGCUAAUAGAUGAGCCUAAGUCGGAUUAGCUAGUUGGUGGGGUAAAGGCUUACCAAGGCGACGAUUUGUAGCGGGCCUGAGAGGAUGAUCGGCCACACUGGGACUGAGACACGGCCCAGACUCCUACGGGAGGCAGCAGUGGGGAAUAUUGGACAAUGGGGGGAACCCUGAUCCAGCCAUGCCGCGUGUGUGAAGAAGGCCUUAUGGUUGUAAAGCACUUUAAGCGAGGAGGAGGCUCUUUUGGUUAAUACCCAAGAUGAGUGGACGUUACUCGCAGAAUAAGCACCGGCUAACUCUGUGCCAGCCGCCGCAGUAA
This 503-nucleotide ribosomal RNA is filed under the name uncultured bacterium. RNAcentral describes it as "partial 16S ribosomal RNA". It matches the Rfam family "Bacterial small subunit ribosomal RNA", at positions 30 to 523 of the family's 1533-position model. The record is from RNAcentral.